GGACAUUUAGUUGCAACAGGUGUGAAAUAGUGAGGGAGGGGUAUCGAGAUGUAGUAGUAUUUUAAUUUUGUUGUAUGAAAAUAUUUGAUGUUUAGACUUCUCUUUUUGCAUUGUUCUGUAGCAUAUGAUAUUUGGAACAUGUUAUCUCUAUUUCUGGAAUAGGCCGGGUCAAGCCUAACAGCAUCAAGGAAGCAUAUGAAAGCUGGUGUUCCUGGGAAAUUGAAAAAUCCAUCUAAAAGGUUUGGGAAAUGGUAUCUGCUGCUAUAUUUUGGGGGCACUGGAAUGAACGGAAUUGUAGAUGUUUUGAUGAGAUUUUAACACCUACACAUGUACUCAAAGCAAAAUGCUUUAGUGAUUGAAUAGUUAUGUUGUGUAUAUGAGCAGGCAUUAUCUCCCUCUCUUGUAAUUUUUGCUUGCAUCUUCUGGAUGCCUUUAAUGAAUUACCCCUUACUUCAUGAAAAAAGUAUUGCAAGGUCAAAGCGAAAAUCCCCAAAAAACAUUCUUCUUUGUUGAUCUGAGUUGCUCAUCCUGAUGCUGUAGUUGUUUUGGAGGAGAUCAGCUGAAGAUCAGCUGAGUGCAAACUACAUCUUCUUGGCGCAUGGACAAAAAACAAAUUGCUUCAUUAUACUUAAUUAUUUGGGCUUAAAGACAUAGUUUCAUGAUGUUUAACCAUUUUCUUAAUUUUGUCCAAAUCUUGCAGACUCUACUGGAGAUAAAGAGAAGGAACUCUUUCAUACCAUGGUCUGCUGUGGCUGUAAAAAGUUAAACUCUAUGCAUGAAGUUGUCAUUUGCAUAAUGAUACACAUAGUAUUUCAGGGCAUGGAGAACUUAUUAACAAUGGUUUGUGAUUUCUACUUCACCUCUAUUUUUAUGUCUAUCUUCAUUUUAACUUCCUAUUUUCUGAAAUUCUGUGCAUGUUAAUGAGCAAUUGUUUGUAAUCAUCAAUUUAUAUGUGAAACUCUAGGAUGUCCUAUGGCUGUGAGUUAAAGAAAUGAAAUUUGGCUCUCAAUGAGUAUAAAGUGAAAUCUUAUUGUUGCCCUUUGGUUAUAUUUUGAUAAUUAGUACUGUUGGUUAUAAUGAGGAUUACUAUAAACUGGCAUGUCAAUGUUCAUUUAUCUUUUUCUCGAUACGCUCACUGCUGCCAUUGACAUUUAUCAAGUUAGGUGUCUAUGUUACAUAUCUAUUGCUUGAACCCCAAAAUUUUACAAAAAAAAAACCCUUAUUUGUUCGACCAUCUUUGUUAGCUGUUAUUUCUAUUUCAACUUGUGGUUUGACUCAAUAACAAGAAAAAGAAGCAUUAUUGGUGCCUUAUUUGUUGGAACAAAUGACUCACAAAUUAACGUGAACAAAGUUAGGAAGAAUAGGAAGUGGACAUAUGCUUAUUUGCAAUGUAUGUUCAACCUAAAAUCUUAUAUAUAUGUUAAGAGACUAAGUUAAUUUUAACAUCUGGAUUACAGUUUCAUUGGUAAUUUUAGGAUAAAGCUUCAUUCUGUAUGAUAAUAUUUUUGUUUUAAAAAGGGCCACUAAAAGCAAAAUCAGAAAAUAUAUGCAGUAGACAUCAAAGAGGUAGUAACAGCUUAAACUAAGUAAUAUUUUUUCUUGAAACUAAAACCAAUAUUGUUCUUGAAAAGUAUAUUCUAAAAUUUUCUAAUUUUAAAGUAAUAACAUCUUUGUUGUCUAUAUGCACUUUCUUUUUAAGGAGGAGGAGAUUUAACAGCCUGUUUAGGUUGCUGCUACCAUAAUUUUUUUUCUUUAUGCUUCGCCGGAGUGUUCAAUGCUGCCAGUAGGGAUGGUGGAAGUGGCGGUGGUUAGUAGGAUUGACAGCUUUAAAGAGGUGAUGAUGAUUUUGUCAAUGCUAUUUCGAUACCUUGUCAAGUUUCACAUGUCUAUUUUAGUGGAUGCUUUUAAGAAUAUAACAGUAGAAGUAUAUACCGGAUUGUUGCACCAGAUAAUCUUAUUUAAAGAAUUUCAAGGCAUUGAAGUACCACCUAGCUACCACUUAUGCUAAGAUCCAGAGGAGAACUAUCUUUGGAUUACACUCUAGCCCUUUUCCCAGACACUUGAUCUCUUAUGUUGUUGAUGAAGCAUUGAAGAUGAAAAUCCUUAGUGAAAUGUCUCUUUUGUUUUGUUUUUUUUCUUCUUUUCAAAUUAGUGCAGAGAUGAGGAUAGUUCAAUGAAAGAUAAGAUGACCAAGUUGAUGAUUAGUUGAAAGAUUCAGCAAAAAAAGGUAAAACCAGCUUCUGAAGAUUAACUGCAGCACAUCAAAGUAUCAACUCUUUCAUGUGAGAUAGAGAAUUGGUUUAUGUAAGUCAUGUCUUUAAACAUUUAGUGCAUCGUUCGAUUCGGAAUACUCCUAUAUUUUAGAUUAAGCUGAUGUAUUUUAUUGAUUUCCUAAAGAGAGUGGCAGGGCUCCUUGAGUAAAUGUGCAACGAGUAGAGUAAGAUUUUUUCUGGUACAAAAGUGGCAGUGCUGAGCCCACGGAGUAACAACUUAAUUCAAUGCCGUUGGUGUUUCUACAAUUACUCGUAUAUAUCUAGGAAAUGACUUUUAGGCGUGAAAUCGACAUGUAUACUGAUUGAAGAAUUAAUGCAGCAGCUUCAUUUAAGAUUCAACGAAGUCCAUAGGUAUACCAAACAUCUUUUGUUGAUUUGAUUGAUAAUUUGUACUCCUGUAUAUUAAUUUUUGAUUAUCUCAUUUUGUUAAAAAUGUCAUGUAAGAGUCACAAGUUAAGUUAAAAAUACGAUAUUGUGCGUACUUCUUUCACUUUGUAGACAUUUUUAUCUGUUGAACCAAGGAAGCAUGCAUAAAGAUGCAUCCUACUAUUUUACAGUAGUGUAAAACUGAGUGGAAACAAAUUAAUUAAC
This 2864-nucleotide long non-coding RNA is filed under the name Solanum tuberosum (potato). Its description in RNAcentral is "long non-coding RNA (STUB_LNC003921)". The record is from RNAcentral. Lineage: Eukaryota; Viridiplantae; Streptophyta; Magnoliopsida; Solanales; Solanaceae.